CCUUCAACAAGGGCAUAACCCGUUGAAAGACGGACUAAUUCCCUAUGACACAGGGGUCCCGCGAUGGGGAUAUUUGUUAAAGAUUAAUCGGUUGGAGAUGGGCAUGCGUUCCAUUAGCUUGUUGGCGGGGUAACGGCCACCAAGGCAACGAUGGAUAGGGGAACUGAGAGGUUUAUCCCCCACACUGGUACUGAGACACGGACCAGACUCCUACGGGAGGCAGCAGUGAGGAAUAUUGGUCAAUGGGCGCAAGCCUGAACCAGCCACGUCCGCGUGAAGGAAGACGGCCCUACGGGUUGUAAACUUCUUUGCAAGGGAAUAAAGUUGGCCACGCGUGGCCUUUUGCAUGUACCUUGCGAAUAAGGAUCGGCUAAAACUCCGUGCCAGCAGCCGC
This 394-nucleotide ribosomal RNA is filed under the name uncultured bacterium. RNAcentral describes it as "bacterial SSU rRNA". It matches the Rfam family "Bacterial small subunit ribosomal RNA", at positions 129 to 518 of the family's 1533-position model. The record is from RNAcentral.